UGGGGAAUUUUGCACAAUGGGGGAAACCCCGAUGCAGCGACGCCGCGUGAUUUAGAAGGCCUUCGGGUUGUAAAAAUCUUUUCUAUGGGAAGAAAAUGACAGUACCAUAGGAAUAAGGACCGGCUAAUUACGUGCCAGCAGCCGCGGUAAUACGUAAGGUCCGAGCGUUGUCCGGAAUCAUUGGGCGUAAAGGGUACGUAGGCGGGUAAGCAAGUUAGAAGUGAAAUCCUGUAGCUCAACUACAGUAAGCUUUUAAAACUGCUCAUCUUGAGAUAUGGAAGGGAAAGUGGAAUUCCUAGUGUAGCGGUGAAAUGCGCAGAUAUUGGGAGGACUACCGGUGGCGAAGGCGACUUUCUGGCCAUAAUCUGACGCUGAGGUACGAAAGCGUGGGUAGCAAACAGG
This 402-nucleotide ribosomal RNA is filed under the name Bacteroidota bacterium. Its description in RNAcentral is "Bacteroidetes bacterium partial 16S ribosomal RNA". It matches the Rfam family "Bacterial small subunit ribosomal RNA", at positions 355 to 776 of the family's 1533-position model. The record is from RNAcentral. Lineage: Bacteria; Pseudomonadati; Bacteroidota.